RNAcentral lists this ribosomal RNA (1658 nucleotides) under Triticum aestivum (bread wheat). RNAcentral's name for it is "partial small subunit ribosomal RNA". Lineage: Eukaryota; Viridiplantae; Streptophyta; Magnoliopsida; Poales; Poaceae. The record is from RNAcentral.
AACCCACUUCCUCCCGAUAGGUAGGCACACCGCACAAGUCGCCCCCACCUACCUUCGUUCUAUCGUGUGAUCCCUGAUCCAGAUUCCUCCUGUUCGUCUCCGUCCUCGCCGCCUCAACUACGCCCCGUGAUCUCGAUGUCGAGGACUUCCCCAUCUCUCCAGCACCUCCCUCCACUCCCACCCAGACCAAUCUAGGAUACGCCCCCAAACGCCAACCCUGCGGCAUCGACGGAGCGUGACAAUGUCGACCGCCCGGCGAGGCGGCGACUUGCCGGACCAGAUGGUGCGGAACCUUCUGGAGCAGGAGAGUCUUCAUCGGAGGCAAGACCACCUGCAGCUUCUUCAUCUCCAUCCUCGUAGCCGCCGUCAGCUUGUUCGUGCUUGUCCAUCGAUUCUGCCAGUACCACAUCCUCGCCAAGGACUUCUCCAACCUCAACGCCAUGGUAUGUGGUACUACUUUGUGAUAUGUGGCUGGUUGAUGAACCCUGUAUAUUCCCAAUCCUUUGGAACAGAGAUUCUACUUGCGUUGGUUAGAUGCUGGAUUUCAUCUUAUACCUUCCUUGGAAGGUGACAACAGAAGAUAAGGUCUGCGACUGGAAAAUAAGUAUGCUGUUUGGGCAUUUUCAUUUUAAUAUGUUCUGCUGAUGACCGACUUUGUGUGAAGAUUAAGGUGUCUACCUUGUAGAAAAAAAUACCAAUCAUCUAGCAAUUUCCUUUAAGUAUUAUAGUAUUCCUGAUCCACCGUUGUGGUUGUUGGCUUGCGCCGUUGUGUAUGUACACGCUAAUGACCGGCUGGCCGCAGCUAAUUACUCAUUAUCCAAUAUGUUAAUGAACUAGGACGAAAUUAGAUAAUCCCAAAGCCAGCAGGCAAUAGCCCAUGUACGAUCGUGGCUGGCUUAUUUUGAUCGAUGAAUCGAUCAGAUCAUGACCUGUGUAUAUGCAUGUUCAACACUUUCACCGGCUGGAUAUAGUAACUUCAGUUCAGAUUUGAUUGUGGCUGUCAUCCUAGAGUGUAGUAGCAGCAGCUGCUAGCAGCCUAACGCUGGAGCACUUGGUGUAGCGCCGCAGCAUUGGUCUUCACAACAGUGUGUUUGCUGCGCACCGUCUUCGACGACGCGUUGAUCUUCAGAGUCUUUGAACCUGGCGUCACAACUCAUAGUUGAGUGCUAUGGCUGGGACUGUAAAGAAGUGUUCAAAUUAUGAUAGAUCAAAGCCCUUCACAGGUGAUGACGUAUGUUGGAUGAUGGAAUGAUUAUUCUGUUCUGGUGCUUGCUUUGACUUGGGUGUUCAGAGAAGUAAAACUUUGAACUAACGUCUUUAGUGAAGCAACAUAUUGUAUCUGAAGUGAAACUUUCUCUUUGAUACGGAGAUGCGAGCAUCAAACUAACAUCCAUCUAAAGAUAAGAUUGCCAAUAUAAAUCGAUGAUGCAUGGCUCGGAAGUUGGUUGCAAAAUCACGAAGGUGGCUACUAGUUUUAGAUUAGGUUAUUAGAAUGUCAUUCAGGUCAAUGUUUCAAACAUUAUGUUUUAGAUGGCUGACAUGUUGAUUGCAAGGUUGAGAAUCAGACUACUACUAGAUAGUUUCACAUACUGUAAUCUUUGUAUCAUGCUCUUUGUAAAGCAACCGAGUUGAUUUAAUAUAUGUGACCUUUCUAAUUA